Musa acuminata AAA Group (dessert banana) is the source of this 663-nucleotide long non-coding RNA. RefSeq lists it as uncharacterized. Lineage: Eukaryota; Viridiplantae; Streptophyta; Magnoliopsida; Zingiberales; Musaceae. The record is from RefSeq and is a predicted model, not a curated record. The transcript is spliced from 2 exons.
AAUGAUGAUGGCGAACGGUGGUGAGCGCGACGACAGUGGCCCACUGCUCGAAUUCACCUCUCCUCUUUCUGCUGCCGCCAUGUUUCCAGGAUCAGCGAAGAAGCACCAAAGGGAUUGCUCUUCUCUCCCUUGUUUCCUUUCUCUUCUUGAACCCUAUUUCCCGGGAGAGGAGGAAUACCGAGAUCGGACUCUAAGAGGCAAGAGUCGGUGGAGAAGCGUGAGAUUGUGAAGCAGUCGGGAAAGAAUCCGCUUAAUCCUAAACCAAACAAUGGGCGUUUACCAUCUUCCGCAGGUAAUUUUUCCUACCCCUCUCUUCUAUGUUAUUUGCCCUAAAUCUCUAGGAUUAUGCUGCUCAAUCCUGUUUGGUCUGGUUUGUGGAUGAGAACGAAUCGAACUGGAUGAUGUGGGAGGAGAAUUUUCCAAAUCAUAACACAACUUCUUGUGCUGAACCUUAAAAUUUCAGCCAAUGUAGGUUUCCGAUUGUCGAUUUAAUUGGAUUCAUGGUAGUGUUGUCUUAAAUCUCUCAAUGCUUUCCCCCACAAGAAUGACACGAAUUCGUGUUCUUACCUUGUGUGUAUUUGAUUUAGACCCAAUGUGGUCUUGCUGUGUACUUUGAUAACUUUACUUGUAUCUUUAAUUUCCCAUAAAGAAUUGAGUUUCAUA